This 609-nucleotide ribosomal RNA is filed under the name uncultured Actinomycetes bacterium. RNAcentral's name for it is "bacterial SSU rRNA". It matches the Rfam family "Bacterial small subunit ribosomal RNA", at positions 75 to 700 of the family's 1533-position model. The record is from RNAcentral. Lineage: Bacteria; Bacillati; Actinomycetota; Actinomycetes.
GCCCUUCGGGGUGGAUCAGUGGCGAACGGGUGAGUAACACGUGAGCAACCUGCCCCUGGCUCUGGGACAACCACUGGAAACGGUGGCUAAUACCGGAUACGACCUGCCUCGGCAUCGAGUGUGGGUGGAAAGUUUUUCGGCUGGGGAUGGGCUCGCGGCCUAUCAGCUUGUUGGUGGGGUAAUGGCCUACCAAGGCGACGACGGGUAGCCGGCCUGAGAGGGCGACCGGCCACACUGGGACUGAGACACGGCCCAGACUCCUACGGGAGGCAGCAGUGGGGAAUAUUGCACAAUGGGCGAAAGCCUGAUGCAGCGACGCCGCGUGAGGGAUGACGGCCUUCGGGUUGUAAACCUCUUUCAGCUCCGAAGAAGCGAAAGUGACGGUAGGAGCAGAAGAAGCACCGGCUAACUACGUGCCAGCAGCCGCGGUAAUACGUAGGGUGCAAGCGUUGUCCGGAAUUAUUGGGCGUAAAGAGCUCGUAGGCGGUGUGUCGCGUCUGCUGUGAAAACUCAGGGCUCAACUCUGAGCUUGCAGUGGGUACGGGCACACUAGAGUGCUGUAGGGGAGACUGGAAUUCCUGGUGUAGCGGUGAAAUGCGCAGAUAUCAG